Long non-coding RNA from Aphis gossypii (cotton aphid), 3100 nucleotides. RefSeq lists it as uncharacterized. The transcript is spliced from 2 exons. Lineage: Eukaryota; Metazoa; Arthropoda; Insecta; Hemiptera; Aphididae. The record is from RefSeq and is a predicted model, not a curated record.
UCACGUAUACGUAUAUACGUUUUCUGUCACACAGCCACCGCUCACCGACUCGUGUCUGCUUCAGCCGCACAUCUGCAGGUCCGGUCUAUACCGUAUUUUGUAGUCCGUAUAUUUUGUAUUUCAUAUUAAAUUGUAUCAAAAAUAAUAAUACUAAUAAUAAUAAUAAGAAGAAGAAGAAUCAUAAUGAUAAUUAUUAAAUACUAAUAUUAUUAUUUACUCGGUUGUUAUUCUAAACGCUUUUUUUUGGGGGGGUUUCAUACGACCAAAACCGAUUUAUUCUCUGGCCGGGUGCUCGUUCCACGCUUACAAAACGGCAAAGCUGUGUGAAUUUCCACACGCGCGCACACACGCGCGCACACACACACACAUACGCACUCUGCCGCCGUCGUGUCGUCACCGACGUAGCUGUAGCCGCCACCGUCGCCGUCGCCGUUCAUUCUCCGGUCGACCACUGUCGGUGCUCGUUUGUGUUGCCACAAUCACUGCAGUCGUACUUUAGCCAACGGUUUCCGAAGAUCAAUUUUCGACGACACGAAUAAUUACUGCCAAACAACACAACGUUAUCAUGACAUCACCCGCAGCAUCGCCACAAAAGCCAGCCAUUACCAACUCCACUGCGUCACCAGUCCGUUUGCCGAGCGUUCAGCCGACUCCGACGCACAACUCGCAGCCCACCGCCGCACAGUCCGUUCAGGGUAAAUGGCAGUGCGCUCUGAGGGACAACCCGGUAAUCGCCAGCGGAACUAUGGCUUGGACGAGAGUGUGGAGAUUCUCCAAGCUUCUGCUGCAGACCGGAUGUUAGGUGUAUACAGCGGCGGAUUUUCACACAAAUAAAUUAUUACUCUCUCUUUCACUCUCUAUCUCUCUGUUUUUCCGUGUCAACAAGAAAAGACAACUUUUUUAUUUUUAUUUUAGAAUAAAUAAUAUAGUCGUAUAUAUUAUAUAUGUACGCAUAAAUUUCACUAUAGUUCGGAGUAGUUACACUAUCGGCGUGUAUGUUUAAUAAUUCCAAACAAUAACAACACGACUUUAAUGUAAUAUACGACUAAUAAUAAAAGACUACGAUAAUGACGUCUCAUACAUUUAUAUUAUAAUAUAUGGAUUAGUGUGAUGUACGUUAAGUUAAAGGUUAGUUAUAAUUAAUAUAUAUUGUAUGAUCUACACCGAGGAGUACUGUAUCGGGAUCCCUGCCCACAUUGUCUUGUACCUAUAUAUUAUAAUAUUACUUAGACUUAGUACAAUAAUGCCACGAUAUUAUAAUUUGUUAACUUUCGAAUUAAUGAUUUUUUAUUAUAUAAUAUAGUAAGCGUUAUUAUUAUAAUUUUUUUUUUUUUUAGAAUUUUUCGUUUAUAUCGACUACUAUAAUAUCGCGUCAACCAAAGCCAGUUGUUUUUAUUUGUUAAAUAUUAUAAUAAUAUAAUCGCAUAUCCGAAAUUUGAUUCAUCGAUUGUAAAUGCGCAACUGUGUGACAUGUAAGACGUGUGUACACAUUUUGCACAAAAAAAUAUAAGGAAUAACUAUUUGACCAUAAUUUGUAUCACGACAUGGUUGAAAACAAAAAAUACAUUGAUAAAUAGAGAAAAAAAAUCCUUUUUUCUCUUUGAAUACAACAUUUAAUACGUUUUGAAUAAAGGUUUACCGCAGUUUCGUCUACGCAUGUAAAGCUAAAUAUUGUAUCGAUCGCGGAUAUAUUUGAGAUAAAUUACAUUUGUUAAAAACAAAUGACAUUAUAGGUAAUAAGACCAAACUAUUUAAUUGUGAUGAAUAAAAUCGAAAUGUACCUAUAAUUAAAUAGGAAUUCCUAUUUAUUUUCUAUAUUAAUUUAUUGAAUUAACAAUAGUACAACAAAUCGGUUCAACGUACUUGAAAAUUCGUAAACCAUACAGAACGUGACAUUGUAACAAUCAUAGAUGAAUACAUUAAUAAUGUCUAGAAAUUCGGAUCAACAAAACAAUAUGACGUGAAUUGUCACUAGUAAAUAAUAACAUUAACCAUUUGUGACAUUUUUUUUUUUUUGUUCAAUUUCUGGAACUAUGAAAUUUUAUUGGAUAAACAAUAAUAACAAUUAUAGAUAGGUAAUAUUGUAAUGACAGGGACGUACCAUAAAACUGUACUGUGCAAUUACUAAUCAUAGGUACCCAUUAUAUUAUAUUAGAUAUAAAAUUGUGCAAUUAGAUUACUGUUUUAAAUUGUUGUGUGCUCCUAAUGUAGCAAUAAAAAUAAAAUGCAACCGUUACCCGUAAUUGUUAGUGUACAUCACGUUAACGAUUUUACUUCUUUUAUGUCAGGUUGCAUAAUCUAUCACUGAAAUUUUUAUUAAUCAAUAGUGAGCUAAGGAUCUCUUGAUCGUUUCAUUGCAAUUUAGUGAAUCAAUUAAAUUAAUUAAAUUUGUCUGCAACCUGGAUCUAUUAGCAUAGAUAAGUGUUUUCUGUAAUUCGAAAGUUUAGAUUUGUUAGUUGUUUAUCAUAUUAUAAUAUUGUUCUCAAUAAUUUAAGCAAUCGUAAUUCAUUAUUUGAACUUACUAAAUCAUAUGAAAUUGUACUCUUAACAUUUAAAAUAAGCAUGUUGUUUAACUUCGAUACGUAUAGUAGGUACGUUGUGCAUUGGUAAUUAUUGGUACCCAAUAAUAAACCAAUAAUUUGAUUUCGUUACUAAAUUACCGCCUGCUUCUUCAUCAGAUUCUUUAUAUCGCAUAAUGGAUAUAUUGUAUACAGACCAAAAUUCUGUUCAAUACUAUUGUCAUUUCAAACGAGCAAAUUAUAAUUGCAACCUUAACAAUAAUAUCUAAGACGAGUAACAUAUAUAAACUAUGUUCAUUACUUAACAAUUGCCUUGAUUUACGAUUGUUGAAUUGUAUAUCUCACGAUAAACUUAAAGAAAUAAGUAAUAAUUAUUGUUAUACUUUUAAAUUAUAAUAUUUGCUAAUAUUGGUAAUGCAUUUUUACGUUUCAAUGUAUACUAGUUUAUGUGACGUUUUGUAUUUUUAAAUUACAUUUUGUAGCGUGUUUCUUAAACAUUGUUUAACAUACGGAUUGUUGUAAGUGAAUUUUUACAAUUUAUUAUUAUAAUUAUUAAAAUAUAUAAAAAUCACAAAUUGUUU